RNAcentral lists this ribosomal RNA (474 nucleotides) under uncultured bacterium. RNAcentral describes it as "bacterial SSU rRNA". It matches the Rfam family "Bacterial small subunit ribosomal RNA", at positions 25 to 518 of the family's 1533-position model. The record is from RNAcentral.
CAGGACGAACGCUGGCGGCGUGCUUCAUACAUGCAAGUCGAACGAGAAGCUCACUUCGGUGAGUGGAAAGUGGCGGACGGGUGAGUAAUGUGUAGAGAAUCUGCCCUAGAGUGGGGGAUAGCAGUUGGAAACGACUAUUAAUACCCCAUAUGCGCGUAGCUGAGAUGCUAUUCGUGAAAACUCCGGUGCUCUGGGAUGAGUCUGCAUCUGAUUAGCUAGUAGGCGGUGUAAUGGACCACCUAGGCUACGAUCAGUAGCUGGUUUGAGAGGAUGAUCAGCCACAAUGGGACUGAGACACGGCCCAUACUCCUACGGGAGGCAGCAGUAGGGAAUUUUGCGCAAUGGGGGAAACCCUGAACCGCAGCAACGCCGCGUGAAUGAAGAAGCCCUUCGGGGUGUAAAGUUCUGUCAGUGGGGACGAAACUUGACGGUACCCACAGAGGAAGCAUCGGCUAACUCCGUGCCAGCCGCCGC